This 468-nucleotide ribosomal RNA is filed under the name uncultured bacterium. RNAcentral describes it as "partial 16S ribosomal RNA". It matches the Rfam family "Bacterial small subunit ribosomal RNA", at positions 28 to 507 of the family's 1533-position model. The record is from RNAcentral.
GACGAACGCUGGCGGCGUGCUUAACACAUGCAAGUCGAACGGAAAGGCCCUGCUUUUGUGGGGUGCUCGAGUGGCGAACGGGUGAGUAACACGUGAGUAACCUGCCCUUGACUUUGGGAUAACUUCAGGAAACUGGGGCUAAUACCGGCUAGGAGCUCCUGCUGCAUGGGGGGGGUUGGACAGUUUCGGCGGUUGGGGAUGGACUCGCGGCUUAUCAGCUUGUUGGUGGGGUAGUGGCUUACCAAGGCUUUGACGGGUAGCCGGCCUGAGAGGGUGACCGGCCACAUUGGGACUGAGAUACGGCCCAGACUCCUACGGGGGGCAGCAGUGGGGAAUAUUGCACAAUGGGCGGAAGCCUGAUGCAGCAACGCCGCGUGCGGGAUGACGGCCUUCGGGUUGUAAACCGCUUUCGCCUGUGACGAAGCGUGAGUGACGGUAAUGGGUAAAGAAGCACCGGCUAACUACGUG